RNAcentral lists this ribosomal RNA (369 nucleotides) under uncultured bacterium. Its description in RNAcentral is "bacterial SSU rRNA". It matches the Rfam family "Bacterial small subunit ribosomal RNA", at positions 527 to 896 of the family's 1533-position model. The record is from RNAcentral.
GUAGGGYGCAAGCGUUAAUCGGAAUUACUGGGCGUAAAGCGUGCGCAGGCGGUUUUGUAAGACAGUGGUGAAAUCCCCGGGCUCAACCUGGGAACUGCCAUUGUGACUGCAAAGCUAGAGUGCGGCAGAGGGGGAUGGAAUUCCGCGUGUAGCAGUGAAAUGCGUAGAUAUGCGGAGGAACACCGAUGGCGAAGGCAAUCCCCUGGGCCUGCACUGACGCUCAUGCACGAAAGCGUGGGGAGCAAACAGGAUUAGAUACCCUGGUAGUCCACGCCCUAAACGAUGUCAACUGGUUGUUGGGUCUUAACUGACUCAGUAACGAAGCUAACGCGUGAAGUUGACCGCCUGGGGAGUACGGCCGCAAGGUUG